RNAcentral lists this ribosomal RNA (254 nucleotides) under uncultured bacterium. RNAcentral describes it as "partial 16S ribosomal RNA". It matches the Rfam family "Bacterial small subunit ribosomal RNA", at positions 793 to 1055 of the family's 1533-position model. The record is from RNAcentral.
GUCCACGCCGUAAACGAUGGAUACUAGCUGUUGGGUGCAAACUCAGUGGCUAAGCGAAAGUGAUAAGUAUCCCACCUGGGGAGUACGUUCGCAAGAAUGAAACUCAAAGGAAUUGACGGGGCCCGCACAAGCGGUGGAGCAUGUGGUUUAAUUCGAUGAUACGCGAGGAACCUUACCAAGGCUUAAAUGUAGAUUGACCGGUUUGGAAACAGAUCUUUCGCAAGACAAUUUACAAGGUGCUGCAUGGUUGUCGU